This 352-nucleotide unclassified non-coding RNA is filed under the name soil metagenome. RNAcentral describes it as "partial contains 5.8S ribosomal RNA, internal transcribed spacer 2, and large subunit ribosomal RNA". The stretch from base 1 to 120 matches the Rfam family "5.8S ribosomal RNA", at positions 35 to 154 of the family's 154-position model. The record is from RNAcentral.
GAUGAAGAACGUAGCGAAAUGCGAUAAGUAAUGUGAAUUGCAGAAUUCAGUGAAUCAUCGAAUCUUUGAGCGCACAUUGCGCCCGCCAGUAUUCUGGCGGGCAUGCCUGUUCGAGCGUCAUUACAACCCUCAGGCCCCCGGGCCUGGCGUUGGGGAUCGGCGGAGCCCCCCGUGGGCACACGCCGUCCCCCAAAUGCAGUGGCGGUCCCGCCGCAGCUUCCAUCGCGUAGUAGCUAACACCUCGCGACUGGAGAGCGGCGCGGCCACGCCGUAAAACACCCAACUCUUCUGAAGUUGACCUCGAAUCAGGUAGGAAUACCCGCUGAACUUAAGCAUAUCAAUAAGCGGAGGA